CCGUCUACCUGAAACUCGCACGGCAUAUCUUCGAACGGCGCCGCCCUCUUCGUACUUUUAGUGCGUGAGAGUUUCAAGGCGGAUCAAACGUCGUUCGGGGUGUUGCGAGGAGUCGUCGAGUCUUCGUAUCCUUCGGGGUGCGUCGUACUUCCGGCGGCUUCAGGCGAUAGACCGGUAGCGACCUGCAUUUUUCCUCCGACAUAGUGCGUCGCGAUCCGUUGUUCGGCGAUCAAUGGGCCCGGCGUGUCUCCCGCACGACUCUGUCUGCGGAGCCGUCGGUGGGCCGUUUACCGCGGGCAGCCUUAACAAGCGCCCCGGCCGGCCGUCCCUUUCAAACCCGAAAGCCGAGUAAGUCCCGAAGUGUGUAUUUCGGGCCGACACGACGGUCACGUAAACACGCGGUGAAAGUGUCUGGAAUUUUUUAAAUUCCAGAUACUGUCCGGACUCCCGACGCUUGGCGGCGGAGGACGCGCGUUCGGCGGAUCAACGGGGGCGGUCGAGGCGUUUCGCGCGUCUCGUCGUCUCUACCGCCGCGCCGCGUCUCUCCCGGACUCGCGCGGAGUGCCGCGACAGUGGGGCUCGAGUUCGAGCCUAGCUCGCUCGCCCUCCAUCGUAAUCUGCGACGUAAGUCUUACAUUACCUUCCGACCCGUCUUGAAACACGGACCAAGGAGUCUAACACGUACGCGAGUCAAGGGGCUCGACAAAACCCUAAUGGCAUAAUGAAAGUGAAAAGGGGCUCGGAGAGAAGAUGAGAAUUUUUUAAAUUUUUAUUUUUCUCUCCAGACCCGGAGGGAGGAUGGUCGGGGAAAGCAUUGACCCCGACCCGCACUCCCGGGGCGUGGUUCGCCACGCACCGAGAGCGUACACGUUGGUACCCGAAAGAUGGUGAACUAUGCAUGGCCAGGAUGAAGCCAGGGGAAACCCUGGUGGAGGUCCGUAGCGAUUCUGACGUGCAAAUCGAUCGUCUGAGCUGUGUAUAGGGGCGAAAGACCAAUCGAACCAUCUAGUAGCUGGUUCCCUCCGAAGUUUCCCUCAGGAUAGCUGGCACUCGGAAACUGGAAAUAAUAUUGAAUAUAAAGAGUCUCAUGCGGUAAAGCGAAUGAUUAGAGGUCUUAGGGCCGAAACGACCUUAACCUAUUCUCAAACUUUAAAUGUGUGAGAUCUCCGGCAUCCUUAAGACUGGCUUUUUUUCAAAUGGUGAUGCCGGAGAUUGGAUCUGAGAUGUCUAGUGGGCCAUUUUUGGUAAGCAGAACUGGCGCUGUGGGAUGAACCAAACGUCGAGUUAAGGCGCCUAAAUCGAAGCUUAUGGGAAACCAUGAAGGGCGUUGUUUGCUUAAGACAGCAGGUUCGUGGACAUGGAAGUUGUAAUCGACUAAGGAGUGUGUAACAACUCACCUGCCGAAGCAACUAGCCCUGAAAAUGGAUGGCGCUGAAGCUUCGUGCCUAUACUCGACCGCCGGUCGGCAAGGUGAAAGGAAACUCUUUUCUAUAAGAAGAGAGGAGAGGCGAUGCUGAAAUUUAUUUUCUUUGUCGUCUUCUCUUUCAAUUCCUAUGAAGCUCCGGUGAGUAGGAGGGCGCGACGGUGUGCGCAGAAGGGUUGGCCGCGAGGCCGCCUGGAGCCAUCGUCGGCGCAGAUCUUGGUAGUAGUAGCAAAUACUCUUGCGAGACCCAGGAGGACUGAUGCGGAGAAGGGUUUCGUGUGAACAGCCGUUGCACACGAGUCAGUCGAUCCUAAGCCCUAAGAGAAGUCUGAAGUCGAUGAGGGCAGUUGUCAAAGAAUUAUGAUUAUAUAUUUUUUUUUAUGUGUUGCAUAUAUAUAAUCUAAUAUGAAAUAAAAAAUUGGCAGCCCCGUCCAGGGYGAAAGGGAAUCCGGUUCYUAUUCCGGAACCCGGUAGCGGAACCGAUCCAUGUCGGGCCACCCGUCCUUCGCGGCGGGACGCUCGUCGGGGUAACCCAAACUGGCCCGGAAAAGCUGUGGGGAGGUCGGGGAAGAGUUUUCUUUUCUGUUUGAGCGUUCAGGUUCCCUGGAAUUCUU
This 2037-nucleotide ribosomal RNA is filed under the name Anaxipha praepostera. Its description in RNAcentral is "eukaryotic LSU rRNA". It matches the Rfam family "Eukaryotic large subunit ribosomal RNA", at positions 499 to 1731 of the family's 3401-position model. Lineage: Eukaryota; Metazoa; Arthropoda; Insecta; Orthoptera; Trigonidiidae. The record is from RNAcentral.